This 452-nucleotide ribosomal RNA is filed under the name uncultured bacterium. Its description in RNAcentral is "bacterial SSU rRNA". It matches the Rfam family "Bacterial small subunit ribosomal RNA", at positions 341 to 786 of the family's 1533-position model. The record is from RNAcentral.
ACGGAAGGCAGCAGGGGGAAUAUUGCACAAUGGGCGCAAGCCUGAUGCAGCCAUGCCGCGUGUAUGAAGAAGGCCUUCGGGUUGUAAAGUACUUUCAGUCGUGAGGAAGGUGUUAAGGUUAAUAACCUUAGCAAUUGACGUUAGCGACAGAAGAAGCACCGGCUAACUCCGUGCCAGCAGCCGCGGUAAUACGGAGGGUGCGAGCGUUAAUCGGAAUUACUGGGCGUAAAGGGCACGCAGGCGGUUAAUUAAGUUGGAUGUGAAAUCCCCGGGCUUAACCUGGGAAUGGCAUUCAAGACUGGUUAGCUAGAGUCUUGUAGAGGGGGUAGAAUUCCAUGUGUAGCGGUGAAAUGCGUAGAGAUGUGGAGGAAUACCGGUGGCGAAAGGCGGCCCCUGGACAAAGACUGACGCUCAUGUGCGAAAGCGUGGGGAGCAAACAGGGAUUAGAUACC